GACGAACGCUGGCGGCGCGCUUAACACAUGCAAGUCGAGCGAUGAAAUUUCGACAGAUCCCUUCGGGGGGAAGAUGAAAUGGAUUAGCGGCGGACGGGUGAGUAACACGUGAGUAACCUGCCUUUGACAUUGGGAUAGCCUCGGGAAACUGGGAUUAAUACCAAAUGACACUGACUGAUCACAUGAUCAAUUAGUCAAAGAGAUUCGGUCAAAGAUGGACUCGCGGCUGAUUAGCUAGUUGGUGAGGGAACGGCCCACCAAGGCGACGAUCAGUAGCCGGCAGGGGAGGGGGACCGGCUAGAUCUGAGCUGCGACACGGACCAAACUCCGACGGGAGGGAGCAGUGGGUAAUAUUGCGGGAGGGGGGAAGACGUGAUGCAGCGGCGCGGGGUAAGCGAAGAAGGCCUUCGGGUCGUAAAGCUCCUUUAUGCGGGAAGAUAAUGACGGUAACGGAAGAAGAAGCCCCGGCUAACUACGUG
This 479-nucleotide ribosomal RNA is filed under the name uncultured bacterium. RNAcentral describes it as "partial 16S ribosomal RNA". It matches the Rfam family "Bacterial small subunit ribosomal RNA", at positions 28 to 507 of the family's 1533-position model. The record is from RNAcentral.